CUCUCCCACUUCAACCGGUGUCUCUCUCGCCUCCACCACUCUCUCAACACCUCCACGCUUCCCUCAACCUCGACGUCACCGCUGCCAGCAUACUCAACUCAGACCCAUCAGCAAAUUCGAAGAAUGAACUCACUAUUUGAAGCCAAAUCCCCACGCCUCGUAGAGCGCUUUUUAGACCCAGAUCAGAGAGCAAGGUUGGGGUUUGGAGAGAAUCGGGUGUAGAGAAGUUGAUGAAGCUCUCUCUUCACGGCAUAGCCACUAGUCCGGAUCUCCAUUUCGGACGAUACUAGCCUUUUUCUCAUCGGAAAUCCCUCAAAUCACCGCUUCCUACAUCGGAAAUCCCUAAGCUUCUCUCUCUCCUCAUCAUCUCUCUUCUCUCUUGUUCCUUUAUACUAGCUCCUCACCUCUUCUUCAACUCUGUUUCCACUUUCUCUCUACUCCAUUCAUUUGGAGACCCCUUUGCUGAUAUGGGUGCAAAUACUCCCGUGUUCUUCAGUCUUUAAUGGAACAAUAUGCUGUGAUAGGAGCAAUAUUCGUUUUGAUAUUUGUGUUAUGAAAGGGGAUGUUAGAACACACUCUGCUUCCUCUUCAAUCUUCCUUUACACCUCAAGAGACGAAUAAUUAUGGUGAUGAAGAGGGAGAUGAGGUAAUCCAGCAUGAAAAGAUCAAACCAUAUACAUGAAAAUGGGAAAAGGGUACUAUGGACACCAUUGAUGAAUUAGACCUUAUUGCAAAGAAAGAGCAUUUUGGUGUAAAUCAUCGUUAUGAUGUCCGGCAUGAUGUUCCAGCUGUGUUCCUAUGCAUGUGAUGUGUGGCUUAGUUAUAAACUUAUAAUUAUAUUUGUAAUGUACAGUCAAGAAGCAAGAGGCACACCAAGUAGAACUUAAUGAGUAGGUCAUGCUAUCUAAGGUUGUCGAAGAAUUUGAUCUUGAAGCAUACAAUUUGUGGGAAUUAUGUAUUAUGAAUUUAUGAUGAUGGGAAGAGUUGUUUCUUGUUAACAAAGUGUACAUUUCAACAAAACUAUUGUUAUAUGGCCUUGUGGUCAAAGU
Molecule: long non-coding RNA, 1049 nt
Organism: Quercus lobata
Lineage: Eukaryota; Viridiplantae; Streptophyta; Magnoliopsida; Fagales; Fagaceae
Exons: 3
Source: RefSeq, a predicted model, not a curated record